UCUUUUCAUCCAGGGGACGGCACACGCAGGUGUGAAGGUGGCAGGCAGUGGCCACCCCACGAAACCUCACAUCUCUCCUGCAUCUGGUACCCAGAGCCAAACUCCAUGGACCUGUAGCCAAGCUGAGCUUAUCAGAACACCCACCCACCCUCCUGCCCCCCGGUCCUUCAUGCUCAAUGUGAUGUCCUGCUAACCUGCUCUCCACCCUUCUUGCCCGGAUGCCAUUCACUCGCUCUCAGCAUAGACACACUCUGCUGAGCCCCUGCUACACUUCAGGAAUGCAGCCUGGCCAAGAUGGACAAAUGAUCAAGGACAGGACAACGAGCACCCCCGAACACCAUCAGAGAGGCCUCAGCGUCCAGGAGCUGCCCUGCUCUUACAACAGGUGAUACAGCCUGAGAAAUAGGAAUUCCAAAGGCACAUCUGCUCUUCCUCACUUGCAGAUCUUGAAAGCAGGAUUAAGAUGUCUUCCAGGGAAUUCCUUGGUGGUUCAGUGGUUAGGACUCCAGGCUUCCAUUGCAGGGGGCAUGAGUUCGAUCCCUGGUUGGGGAACUAAGAUCCCGCAUGCUGUGCAGCGUGACCAAAAAAAAAAAAAAAAAAGACACCUUCUAGGACUUGCCAUGGGGUCUCCAGCCCUCAGCUUAACGGUCUAUUUUACUUAGUAAGUCCCUUUACCCAUAUUUUCUGAAUUAUGUGAAAGUGGAGGCAAAGAUGAUUGAAGUUUCGAGUGUGGGUGACUCUGAGGGCAGAAGCCUCGUGUUAUGGGUUAAAUUGUGUCCCCCCCUCCAAAGAUGCUAAAGUCCUAACCCCCAGUACCUGUGCAUGGGAUUUUGGAUUUUAUUUGGAAAUAGGUUCUUUCCAGAUGAUCAAGUUAAAAUGAGGUCAUGAGGGUGGGCCCUAAUCCAAUAUGACUGUGUCCUUAUAAAAGGGGGAAAUUUGGACACAGAGACUGACAUGCACAGGGAGAAGGCCAUGUGAAGAUGAAGGCAGAGAUCAGGGUGACACAUCUAUAACACAAGGGUUGCCAAAGAUUGCCAGCAAACCACCAUAAGCAGGGAGAGAGGAGUGAAACAGACUCUGUCUCCACCACAGCCUUCAAAUAGAACCAACCCUGACAACACAUUGAUCGUGGACUUCUAUCUUCCAGAACUCUGAGAUAAUCCAUUUCUGUCAUUGAAGCUACCCAGCUUGUGAUGUUUUGUGACAGCAUCCCUAGGAAAUGAAUACCCCUGUAUAUAGCAACAAGGAAGCCAGCCAUGGGGCAGGACGAGAAAGGGCAACGACUCAAUUCAAACUAACAAGUUGUUUCCAGGGGCUGCCACACGCCUGGUGCUGUGCUAGGUAUGAGGAUGUAGCAGUGAGCAAGAGUCACAGCCCCUGCCCUUAGGGGGCUUUAGAGUGACCCGAAGGAGGCAGGCAGUAAGGAAUAGCACGCAUGCCAUUGUGACUUCAGGUGAUUUACAAGGUGGGGAUUUAAUCUA
Balaenoptera acutorostrata (minke whale) is the source of this 1481-nucleotide long non-coding RNA. RefSeq lists it as uncharacterized. The record is from RefSeq and is a predicted model, not a curated record. Lineage: Eukaryota; Metazoa; Chordata; Mammalia; Artiodactyla; Balaenopteridae. The transcript has 3 exons.